AUAGCUCAGUUGGUAGAGCACGACCUUGCCAAGGUCGGGGUCGCGAGUUCNNNNNNACAAGAGUAUAUGACCAUUAAAACUUUAGCCGCAGGUGCUAAUGGCUAUGUUUUAAAAAGCAGUAGUCAGCAAGUUCUGUUAGCG
Molecule: transfer RNA, 141 nt
Filed under: Salmonella enterica subsp. enterica serovar Enteritidis str. EC20121177
Lineage: Bacteria; Pseudomonadati; Pseudomonadota; Gammaproteobacteria; Enterobacterales; Enterobacteriaceae
Description: tRNA-Gly (GCC) (tRNA-Gly-GCC-3-1)
Source: RNAcentral